Aethalodelphis obliquidens (Pacific white-sided dolphin) is the source of this 311-nucleotide long non-coding RNA. RefSeq lists it as uncharacterized. The transcript has 2 exons. The record is from RefSeq and is a predicted model, not a curated record. NCBI's taxonomy places the organism in Eukaryota, Metazoa, Chordata, Mammalia, Artiodactyla, Delphinidae.
UAAAAAUUUUAAAUACAUUUUUUAUUAAUUCAAUUUUUAAUUUGCAUUUUAGUUAAUUACAUUGUUUUGUUUAUAGUUUUAACUUAAAAAAAUUCUAUUGUCGGUGUUGCCCAGAUGCACGAUUUUCAGAAUGACAUAUUUUAUCUUCUACACAUAGCUGUAAACAAACUCUCCUGAAAUAAACUGUGGGACUGGCUGCAUCUUCACAUCUCCCUGAGAACAUGUGGAUUUUUAAGGACUGAGGUCUGGCCUUCCCCCAUUCACACUGCCUGAUGUUUGGAAUAGCUAAUGGUUUCAGUUUCAAAACAAAA